CCAAGGGAGCAGUGUUAUCCCGGAUGUAUAUACAUAUACAAGCAGAGCAGCAGAAGGAAGCAGCUAGCUAAUUAAGGUGGCAUGACACCGAUCGAGGAGAGUAAACUAGUUAUGGGUUUGAAUGCCAGCUAUUGCACAAGACAAGAGAAGAAAUGAAUGAACGAGUCUAGUCUAAACACCAAUAUCACUUCACUUACCAGUUUUGUGGUGAGGAAUGAGGACAUUCUUCAUUUAAGGCCUGGUCACACCCAAUAUCUCCAGUACUGACAGCUCUGCGCACAUCUCCACAAAGGCUAAAUCCUUUACGCUAGAACGACGAGAUCAGUUACGGAUCCCUUACAUAAAGGACCGAGAAAUAAACUAAACAGAUUAGAAGGAGAAGCUCAUGAAACCAUGUAAGAGAGAAAGAAAGAUGAAGAAAGAAAAGCGGAAAGAGAGAGAGAGGUGCACAAAUCACGGAAGAUAGGUAGUAUAUUGAAAGAGGCAGAGGCAGAGGAAGAGGAAGAGGAUGCGUCGCUGUCUUCAUGAGAGUCAGAGAAGGGAAAGCGAUUGAAUAUCUAUACAAAUCUUUCUUUUUUCUUUUUCUUUUCUUCCCCUUUCUUUUCUUUUCAUCGGAGAUUUUCAGGAGAUGCUGCAACCCUAUAUCCAGGGAAUGUGUUAUUAUUUCGGAUAAUAAAGUGCUUUCUAUCUCUCUCCUUCCAGAUAUACGCUGCAAGUAUAUUAAUUUAUAAUAUUAUUACAAGGUAGCAGCAGCAACAAAAAGCUGAUCUCUAAUCUCUC
RNAcentral lists this long non-coding RNA (780 nucleotides) under Theobroma cacao (cacao). RNAcentral describes it as "long non-coding RNA (TCAC_LNC005707)". Lineage: Eukaryota; Viridiplantae; Streptophyta; Magnoliopsida; Malvales; Malvaceae. The record is from RNAcentral.